CCUAAGAGAGAUCCAACUGAACCAACUGAAAAUAUGAAACCUAUGGUCUCCUGGGAGAAAGAUGGUCCCUCUUUUGAAUCUGUAUACCAGUAGAACAUCCCCUCAUGAAUAUUCACACUCAAUGCAAAGGAUAAAUACAUAUAUAAACAUGGUCGCCACACAUCUGGGAAUUUUAAUGUUGUCCACAUAGCCUUACCAGCAUCAACAAACUUUUGGUUUACCUGUCUGUAACUAAAAUUUGCCAUUACGGGUUCAUCAAGCAGAAGUCCAACUAAAAGUACUAAUCCAGCUGGGAUUGUCAGCAAGCCAAAAACGCCCUUAGGGCCAAUCAAGUGGACAAAAAUACCACUGAUAGAGAACCCCACAAGUCCUCCAAUUGAUGAACUCAAAGCACACAAGCUUUGCAUGUCAGGCGCAAGAUGAGGAUGAGUAUUACUAUUUUGAGCCACACAGGCAUCUAUGGUCACAUCUGCUAUUGCUACACCAGCACUUCCUGCUGUCAAUGACAGCAAAGCAAAUACAAGAUGCAGGUUCUCAUGCAAUGACAACAAAAGCAUGGAGACCACACCGAGCAAUCCAGCUAAAAUGAAAUAUGGCCUCCUGCGGUACCCCAAGACAGGAAGAACGUCUGUAAGC
This 636-nucleotide unclassified non-coding RNA is filed under the name Hevea brasiliensis (rubber tree). The record is from RNAcentral. Lineage: Eukaryota; Viridiplantae; Streptophyta; Magnoliopsida; Malpighiales; Euphorbiaceae.